UUUAUACAAUGGAGAGUUUGAUCCUGGCUCAGGAUGAACGCUAGCGGCAGGCCUAACACAUGCAAGUCGAGGGGCAUCGGGAUUGAAGCUUGCUUCAAUUGCCGGCGACCGGCGCACGGGUGCGUAACGCGUAUGUAACCUACCUAUAACAGGGGCAUAACACUGAGAAAUUGGUACUAAUUCCCCAUAAUAUUCGGAGAGGCAUCUCUCCGGGUUGAAAACUCCGGUGGUUAUAGAUGGACAUGCGUUGUAUUAGCUAGUUGGU
RNAcentral lists this ribosomal RNA (265 nucleotides) under Alistipes sp. Its description in RNAcentral is "partial 16S ribosomal RNA". It matches the Rfam family "Bacterial small subunit ribosomal RNA", at positions 1 to 253 of the family's 1533-position model. Lineage: Bacteria; Pseudomonadati; Bacteroidota; Bacteroidia; Bacteroidales; Rikenellaceae. The record is from RNAcentral.